UACGGAGGGUGCGAGCGUUGUCCGGAAUCACUGGGCGUAAAGGGCGCGUAGGUGGCGCGACAAGUCAACGGUGAAAGCCCGGGGCUCAACCCCGGGUCGGCCGUCGAUACUGUUGGGCUUGAGCACUGUAGAGGCAGAAGGAAUUCCGGGUGUAGCGGUGGAAUGCGUAGAGAUCCGGAAGAACACCGGUGGCGAAGGCGGUCUGCUGGGCAGUAGCUGACACUGAUGCGCGACAGCGUGGGGAGCAAACAGG
RNAcentral lists this ribosomal RNA (253 nucleotides) under uncultured bacterium. RNAcentral describes it as "partial 16S ribosomal RNA". It matches the Rfam family "Bacterial small subunit ribosomal RNA", at positions 524 to 776 of the family's 1533-position model. The record is from RNAcentral.